Molecule: ribosomal RNA, 637 nt
Filed under: Amanita brunneofuliginea
Lineage: Eukaryota; Fungi; Basidiomycota; Agaricomycetes; Agaricales; Amanitaceae
Description: LSU rRNA
Rfam family: Eukaryotic large subunit ribosomal RNA
Source: RNAcentral
AUAAGCGGAGGAAAAGAAACUAACAAGGAUUCCCCUAGUAACUGCGAGUGAAGCGGGAAAAGCUCAAAUUUGAAAUCCGGCAGUCUUUUUUUUCUUCUUUGGCUGUCCGAGUUGUAAUCUAGAGAAGUGCUUACCUGCACUGGACCAUGUAUAAGUCUCCUGGAAUGGAGCGUCACAGAGGGUGAGAAUCCCGUCUUUGACAUGGACCGCCAGUGUGUUGUGGUGUGCUCUCAAAGAGUCGAGUUGUUUGGGAAUGCAGCUCUAAAUGGGUGGUAAACUCCAUCUAAAGCUAAAUAUUGGCGAGAGACCGAUAGCGAACAAGUACCGUGAGGGAAAGAUGAAAAGGACUUUGGAAAGAGAGUUAAACAGUAUGUGAAAUUGUUGAAAGGGAAACGCUUGAAGUCAGUUAUGUUGGCUAGGGAUCAACCUAGCUGUUUUUUGCUGGGUGAAUUUCCUAGUCUGACAGGCCAACAUCAGUCUUGACUGCUGGAAAAGAGCAGAGGGAAUGUGGCACCUUUGGGUGUGUUAUAGCCUUUUGUCAUAUGUGGCAGUUGGGACUGAGGGAUGCAGCAUGCCGCGAGGCUGGGUUUCUGACCACGUUCAUGCUCAGGAUGUUGGCUUUUAAUGGCUUCAAUCG